Molecule: small nucleolar RNA, 136 nt
Filed under: Solanum tuberosum (potato)
Lineage: Eukaryota; Viridiplantae; Streptophyta; Magnoliopsida; Solanales; Solanaceae
Description: Small nucleolar RNA snoR136
Rfam family: Small nucleolar RNA snoR136
Source: Rfam by way of RNAcentral
AUGCUUUGCUUAAUUAUAAUUUGAGUCGCACACACUUUUGUGGUGUGUCAUUUUACAAGUGAAGCUAGAAACAUUGUUCCUCUCGCUAUCCUUUGCUCCUUUUUGUGUUGUAUUUGGACGUUGGGGAACUACAUUA